RNAcentral lists this ribosomal RNA (164 nucleotides) under Hypericum canariense var. floribundum. Its description in RNAcentral is "5.8S ribosomal RNA". It matches the Rfam family "5.8S ribosomal RNA". Rfam says of the family: 5.8S ribosomal RNA (5.8S rRNA) is a component of the large subunit of the eukaryotic ribosome. It is transcribed by RNA polymerase I as part of the 45S precursor that also contains 18S and 28S rRNA. Functionally, it is thought that 5.8S rRNA may be involved in ribosome translocation. Lineage: Eukaryota; Viridiplantae; Streptophyta; Magnoliopsida; Malpighiales; Hypericaceae. RNAcentral also lists the same sequence under 1 other name. The record is from RNAcentral.
AAAACGACUCUCGGCAACGGAUAUCUAGGCUCUUGCAUCGAUGAAGAACGUAGCGAAAUGCGAUACUUGGUGUGAAUUGCAGAAUCCCGUGAACCAUCGAGUCUUUGAACGCAAGUUGCGCCCGAAGCCUUCUGGCCGAGGGCACGUCUGCCUGGGUGUCACAC